Molecule: ribosomal RNA, 461 nt
Filed under: uncultured bacterium
Lineage: Bacteria
Description: partial 16S ribosomal RNA
Rfam family: Bacterial small subunit ribosomal RNA
Source: RNAcentral
CCUACGGGGGGCAGCAGUGAGGAAUAUUGGUCAAUGGGCGCAAGCCUGAACCAGCCAAGUCGCGUGAGGGAAGACGGCCCUACGGGUUGUAAACCUCUUUUGCCGGGGAGCAAGCCUGAGCACGUGUGCCCAGGCGGAGAGUACCCGGAGAAAAAGCAUCGGCUAACUCCGUGCCAGCAGCCGCGGUAAUACGGAGGAUGCGAGCGUUAUCCGGAUUUAUUGGGUUUAAAGGGUGCGUAGGCGGAUUGAUAAGUUAGAGGUGAAAUGUCCGGGCGUAACUCGGGAACUGCCUCUAAUACUGUUGAGCUAGAGAGUAGAUGCGGUAGGCGGAAUGUAUGGUGUAGCGGUGAAAUGCUUAGAGAUCAUACAGAACACCGAUUGCGAAGGCAGCUUACCAAUCUAUAUCUGACGUUGAGGCACGAAAGCGUGGGGAGCAAACAGGAUUAGAUACCCUUGUAGUC